GAGAGUAUCCAAAUCAUUCAAAUUGAAAACAUUUUUAGUUGUCCUGAAUGAAAAUAGAAUAACUUUGAGAUGAAGCUGCACCCCAGAUCCGAGAAAACAAAAAGCUGAAGAGGUGUUACCAACAUCAGUGGUUCAACCCUCAGAAGCUGGUUACAAUCCAUCAGAAGAUGAGAUCAAGCACAUUGAGAUAUGGAGCAAGGCGGCCAUUGGGUGGUACUUCUGGAAUAGCAUAUUCAAUGCCAGACUGCAGGAGAAACCUGGCGAGCCGUGGAGCGUGGGCUCGCGCCGUUUCUACAAGUACACCUUCACAUUCCGGCAUGGUCCCGGCGUGGUGCCCAACACAGUGCCGGCCGAUGUCCGGUACCUGGUGCUCAUACUCAACGGACGCACCGAUGAAAAGGUUCGGGUGGCGCGCCAGUGGCUGGACCUGCUGCCCCGCCUGGUGCUUCUGCAGCACACGGCCGUCGUGCUGCACGGCAGUGAGUUCUGUAACAACACCUGGAUCCGGCCGUACCUGCGCGCCCACGGCGGCCGCGUCGACGCGCUGUUCGUCGUGUACGAUGACCCGGACGUGAAUGGCGAGGACGUCUUCCAGUGGCCGCUCGGUGUUGCCACGUACCGAGGUUUCCCGCAGGGCCCUUACACGAUAGACGUCAAGUCGCCACGGCCGCACCGCUGCAACUUCUUCGGCACCGUGUACGCCAACUCGUCACGGGAGACGCUGCUGAAGAGCCUGCUGUCCGUGCCCGACCACAGCUGCCUGCUCAAGACGCGGCAACAGUGGACAGAGUCUGAGACGCACCAGUCCGCCUCCGAGUACGUGGACGCCCUGCUGCAGUCAGACCUCACCCUCAGUCCGGCCGGCAUCAACCCGGAGUGUUACCGGCAGUACGAGGCGGCGGCGCUCGGCUCCGUGCCGGUGAUGGUCGCGGACGAGCCGCCAGUGGGCCGGUGUAGGCCGGGCCCGGGCCUGCUGCGCCGCCACGGCGCCCCGUUCCUCUGGCUGCGAGACUGGCGUCAUCUGCCAGAGCUGCUGCGGCGAGAGGCGGCGCUGACUGCGCGCCAGCGCGCCGCCCGUCGCCGCCGCCUCCUCGCCUGGUAUGAGGACUUCAAACGGCGAGUUCGAAAUGAGUUCAUCAACGUCAUUGUGCGUAAGUUCUUCCAUGGCGAGGAUGGUAAGGCGUGAUGUGAUCAGAGUCUUAGGGGUUGAAGGGUGUUAUGUGGUUUUUGAAACAAGAGGUGCUUAUAUUGUCUGGAGAAAACGUUACGUGAUAGGAGGGGUGGAAAUAAUGCGUAGCUCAUCGUAGACGGUGCUCAAACUUCUAUAGACUUUAUUAUGUGGCCAGUGAGUGCAUUCUGCUUCGAUGUGGUCUCAUCCAAAUGAAGCCGGUGCAUUGUUUUGUCAUUGUUCCCUGCAAGUUGUUUAUGUGUAAGGAACCGAUUGUGGAUAUUUUCUAUUUGAUCAAUUGUAAUACUAAUGUGAAAUCCACUCAAAAUUACCCUAAUCAUUCUUUGUAUCACCAGACAUACUUUACCAUAAGUAUCGGAACCGUUUAAAUUCGAACUCUUUCACAUUGAUAGUCAAUCUUACCAGUUCAAGCACCGCGCUUGGCUUCUGGGUAACGUUUGCUGAGAUUCGCAUGUGAUACGUCAAAUGACCUGGGUGUUUAGGAUAAACGAGGGUUGUACUGGUGUUGACGUAUGUCGUGCAGUCUGUGCCCUGAUGUGCCCGCACCCAUGUUCUUAAUUGUGAUGAAUAAUUUUAUGGGACAGGGAAAAUAGUCAAGUGUAAGCCCGGUGGGUAACCUUAUUAUGGGUUUCGGUAAUAUUUAGUGAUAACGGGUAGAUAUUGUGUCAGCGACUCAUCAGGCAUUAAGAUAGGCUGCGGUAAUGUACUCAUCACUUACCAUCACCAUAUGUUUUGAAAAUGCUGGUGGAUUUGCGAUCGGCUCAAGUCUUGUGUCCCCAUCAACCCCAUUGAUUCCCUGGAUACCCUCGGGGGAACUGUGAUAAUAUGAGGCCAACGUUUUUACUCCCAGUCAUUUGCUGUGUGACACGCUUAGCCCUAGUGUCAGCGUUGCGUUAGCGUGACACGUAGCUGAACCGUGGGUUUCAUGUUGACUGUGUAAUGUGUGUUCAAUGCAAACAUGUUGCUUUUUCCCAUGGCGCCGGCGACAACUGUUGAGAUGGAUACCUUGUCACGGUUUGUUGGGAUGCCGAUUUGAUAAAGUUUUCGAUACUGUGACUAGUUAUGUGCUUGAACUGGUUUUUGCUCGAAAAUCGUGAAUGCGCUUCAUUUUGUGACGAUGUUUCAAUGGGGGCAAUAUUCUGUAGUGUGGAGACAUUUGAACCAUCGGCUUGGCACUAGUCAAUGUUUUACGCGGGACGUGAACUUACUGCAACAUUCCCCAUUUAGGUGUUGUAAUAUUUACCAUGACAUGUGCCUUUUAUGGUAACUGUGAGUAACGUAUGGUAACGCAGAGGUUCACGUUGGAUUGAGCAUCGCAUGUUUUAGUGACCCGUGGAAAGCCUUUGGUAAAAUACGUAAUACAAAUUACCGAACCAUGUCA
RNAcentral lists this unclassified non-coding RNA (2570 nucleotides) under Amphibalanus amphitrite. RNAcentral describes it as "ribitol-5-phosphate xylosyltransferase 1-like, transcript variant X2". The record is from RNAcentral. Lineage: Eukaryota; Metazoa; Arthropoda; Thecostraca; Balanomorpha; Balanidae.